AUCGUUCAUCUUCGUAAGAAGACGGAAGUAGACGAAAGUUGAAGGAACGCGCC
This 53-nucleotide non-coding RNA is filed under the name unclassified sequences. The record is from Rfam.